Molecule: ribosomal RNA, 311 nt
Filed under: uncultured Pezizomycotina
Lineage: Eukaryota; Fungi; Ascomycota
Description: SSU rRNA
Rfam family: Eukaryotic small subunit ribosomal RNA
Source: RNAcentral
AAAGAUUAAGCCAUGCAUGUCUAAGUAUAAGCACUUUAUACUGUGAAACUGCGAACGGCUCAUUAAAUCAGUUAUCGUUUAUUUGAUAGUACCUUACUACAUGGAUACCUGUGGUAAUUCUAGAGCUAAUACAUGCUAAAAACCCCGACUUCAGGAAGGGGUGUAUUUAUUAGAUAAAAAACCAACGCCCUUCGGGGCUCCUUGGUGAAUCAUAAUAACUUAACGAAUCGCAUGGCCUUGCGCCGGCGAUGGUUCAUUCAAAUUUCUGCCCUAUCAACUUUCGAUGGUAGGAUAGUGGCCUACCAUGGUGG